This 450-nucleotide ribosomal RNA is filed under the name uncultured Anaerolineaceae bacterium. RNAcentral describes it as "bacterial SSU rRNA". It matches the Rfam family "Bacterial small subunit ribosomal RNA", at positions 918 to 1382 of the family's 1533-position model. Lineage: Bacteria; Bacillati; Chloroflexota; Anaerolineae; Anaerolineales; Anaerolineaceae. The record is from RNAcentral.
GGCCCGCACAAGCAGCGGAGCGUGUGGUUUAAUUCGUUGCUACACGAAGAACCUUACCUGGGUUUGACAUAUAAGUUGUAGGGAACUGAAAAGGGACCGACCCUUCGGGGAGCUUAUACAGGUGUUGCAUGGCUGUCGUCAGCUCGUGUCGUGAGAUGUUCGGUUAAGUCCGCUAACGAGCGCAACCCUCGCCGUAUGUUACAAGUGUCAUACGGGACUGCCGGUAAAAGCCGGAGGAAGGUGAGGAUGAUGUCAAGUCAGCAUGACCUUUAUAUCCAGGGCUACACACACGCUACAAUGGUCUGUACAAUUGGUUGCCAAGCCGCGAGGCGGAGCCAAUCCGUAAAGCAGGCCUCAGUUCAGAUUGCAGUCUGCAACUCGACUGCAUGAAGCCGGAGUUGCUAGUAACCGCAGGUCAGCAAUACUGCGGUGAAUACGUUCCCGGGUCUU